AUUGAACGCUGGCGGCAGGCCUAACACAUGCAAGUCGAGCGGAUGAAGGGGGCUUGCUCCUGGAUUCAGCGGCGGACGGGUGAGUAAUGCCUAGGAAUCUGCCUGGUAGUGGGGGAUAACGUCCGGAAACGGGCGCUAAUACCGCAUACGUCCUGAGGGAGAAAGUGGGGGAUCUUCGGACCUCACGCUAUCAGAUGAGCCUAGGUCGGAUUAGCUAGUUGGUGGGGUAAAGGCCUACCAAGGCGACGAUCCGUAACUGGUCUGAGAGGAUGAUCAGUCACACUGGAACUGAGACACGGUCCAGACUCCUACGGGAGGCAGCAGUGGGGAAUAUUGGACAAUGGGCGAAAGCCUGAUCCAGCCAUGCCGCGUGUGUGAAGAAGGUCUUCAGAUUGUAAAGCACUUUAAGUUGGGAGGAAGGGCAGUAAGUUAAUACCUUGCUGUUUUGACGUUACCAACAGAAUAAGCACCGGCUAACUUCGUG
RNAcentral lists this ribosomal RNA (484 nucleotides) under uncultured bacterium. RNAcentral's name for it is "partial 16S ribosomal RNA". It matches the Rfam family "Bacterial small subunit ribosomal RNA", at positions 30 to 507 of the family's 1533-position model. The record is from RNAcentral.